RNAcentral lists this ribosomal RNA (253 nucleotides) under uncultured bacterium. Its description in RNAcentral is "partial 16S ribosomal RNA". It matches the Rfam family "Bacterial small subunit ribosomal RNA", at positions 524 to 776 of the family's 1533-position model. The record is from RNAcentral.
UACGGAGGGUGCAAGCGUUAAUCGGAAUUACUGGGCGUAAAGCGUGCGCAGGCGGUUUCUUAAGUCAGAUGUGAAAGCCCCGGGCUUAACCUGGGAACUGCGUUUGAAACUGGGAGACUUGAGUGUGGCAGAGGGGGGUGGAAUUCCACGUGUAGCAGUGAAAUGCGUAGAUAUGUGGAGGAACACCGAUGGCGAAGGCAGCCCCCUGGGCUAACACUGACGCUCAUGCACGAAAGCGUGGGGAGCAAACAGG